UAAUGCGCUGUAGGACGCAAGCUGCCAUAAAAAACAAAAACAAAAAGAAGAAGAAGAUUGUGGUUCGUAGUCGGAACGUUUUGGAUGGGACACCGAAGUGGCAUCUGUGAGGCAAUCGUAGAAGCCGAAAUUCUGCGGGGAUCAUGAGCACCAAACAGGUGACCUGUAGGUACUUCAUCCACGGCGUUUGCAGAGAGGGUAGCCGCUGUCUGUUCUCUCAUGACCUGAACAACAGCAAACCCUCCACAAUCUGCAAAUUCUACCAGAGAGGAGUGUGUGCCUAUGGAGACCGCUGCAGGUAUGACCACGUCAAACCGUCCAGAGGGGCAUCAGGAGGAGCUGUGGAGGAUCAGCCAGGAGCAGGAGGGGCUAGCAGCGGGGCUUCAGUCCGAGGCGUGAAGAAGACGCUUGUCCUUAGAGAUGGAGGUGUUAAUAGUGUAUUCGGAAGUCCAGCAGACAGUCUGGGAUCAGAGGUAGAAGCAUCAGCAUCAGCAGCUCCUCAGUCGUAUGUGGAUGCCAUCAGGACAGGCCUGGACACCUCAGCACAGGAACAAGCCUUUUCUGCAGUUGGCGGGGCCUUCCAGGACCUCCCUCAGCUGUGUCCAUACUCUGCGGCUGGAUACUGUUACUAUGAAGACAGCUGUACGUAUCUUCAUGGCGACCGGUGUGAUGUGUGUGGGUUGGAUGUGAUCCACCCCCACGACCCAGAGCAGAGGAGAGCACACGAGAAGAUGUGUUUGCUGGCCUUUGAAGCCGACAUGGAGAAGGCGUUUGCAGCUCAGAUCAGCCAGGACAAGGUGUGUUCGAUCUGUAUGGAGGUGGUGGUGCAGAAGGCGAACCCUUCGGACCGCAGGUUCGGGAUUCUGUCCUCCUGCUGUCACACCUUCUGUCUCGCCUGCAUCCGACAGUGGCGCUGCACUAGAAACUUCAGCAACAAGAUUAUUAAAUCAUGUCCCGAGUGUCGGGUCAUCUCAGAGUUUGUCAUCCCCUCGGUCUAUUGGGUGGAGGACCAGGACGACAAGGACCAUCUUAUCGAGCUGUUCAAGUCUGGAGUCAGAAAGAAGCCCUGUAAGUACUUUGACCAAGGUCGUGGUUCCUGCCCAUUUGGAGGGAAGUGUUUGUAUCUUCACGCAUUCCCAGACGGAACCCUAGCAGAACCCGACCGGCCACGGAAACAGAUGAGCUCUGAGGGGAACGUUCGGUUCAUGAACAAUGUCAGUCUGUGGGAUUUCAUCAAGGAGCGUGAGCACCAAGCGGCUCUGUCCCUGCCGUUACUCGAUGAAGACAUCACUGAGCUGAGAGAACUCUUCCUGCAGAUGUCAGGUCCGAGCCACGAGGAUCCGGACACCACAGCCUCUGCGGACCAGUAGAGACCCUACCAGACUCGGCCGAGUCCUCUGGUCUCUAUGGUAACUGGUGACAGGACGUCUGCACCUCAGCUAUGAGGCUCAUCAUCCUCCUCCUGUUGAGCCAAGCACAGCUUUGGUUCUACCUCCUGUCUGCAGGUGGUUUGAAGCCAGCUCCUCCUGUCUGGAAGCCCUGGAUACAAGUAACAGGAGCUUUUAUCCUUAGGCUUGAGCUGCUCAUGCCUGCUCUAACUGCUCUUUUAAAUUUGACUGUUUAACAACAAACUGCAUCACUGACCCACAGUCGUCUCCAGAACACAAUAAUGGCUGUGGGAGUUGAUAAAGGGAUUAUAGUGUUUGGUUCCUCAGACUCAUGGCUGGUUGUGUUUCACACGCAGCUCAGAGCCAGCUGGUCCACAUCCAUUCUGCUUCACAAUCGAUCCAGGUCAUUUCAGACCUGGAUGUUUCAGCGGAUGGGACAGGCACAUGUGGAUCAGAAGGAGUUGUUUUCCCUGCUGCUGCUGCUGCUGCUGCUGCUUGGAGCCUUUGGACAAACUGUUUUAUUCUGUUGUUGGACACACAACAACCUGCACAACAACCUGCUACAACCUGGAUCUUGGUGAACAGAAAUGUUCCUUGUGUCCGCUGCAGCCAGUUCUCCUGUUUAUUCCUGACCUGGACUGGUCUCUGUACUGGACCCAGGAUGAGAAGAGGGUCAUGAUCUUGUCCAGUUUAUCCUAACCCAGGCUGGUCUGGAUCCUCAUAAUUUCAGACGAACCUUUACAG
Betta splendens (Siamese fighting fish) is the source of this 2132-nucleotide RNA transcript. It is a transcript of the gene named makorin, ring finger protein, 2, with no coding region annotated. The transcript has 11 exons. The record is from RefSeq and is a predicted model, not a curated record. Lineage: Eukaryota; Metazoa; Chordata; Actinopteri; Anabantiformes; Osphronemidae.